RNAcentral lists this ribosomal RNA (363 nucleotides) under uncultured bacterium. Its description in RNAcentral is "partial 16S ribosomal RNA". It matches the Rfam family "Bacterial small subunit ribosomal RNA", at positions 338 to 698 of the family's 1533-position model. The record is from RNAcentral.
CCUACGGGAGGCAGCAGUGAGGAAUAUUGGUCAAUGGACGCAAGUCUGAACCAGCCAAGCCGCGUGAAGGAAGACGGCUCUAUGAGUUGUAAACUUCUUUUGUACGGGGGUAAACGCAGAUACGCGUACCUGACUGAAAGUACCGUACGAAUAAGGAUCGGCUAACUCCGUGCCAGCAGCCGCGGUAAUACGGAGGAUUCGAGCGUUAUCCGGAUUUAUUGGGUUUAAAGGGUGCGUAGGCGGUGGGUUAAGUUAGUGGUGAAAUGCCGGGGCUCAACCGCGGAAUUGCAUUUGAUACUGGUCGGCUUGAGAGUAGUAGAGGUAGGCGGAAUGCGUGGUGUAGCGGUGAAAUGCUUAGAGAUC